GAGUGAUUAGUGGAUGGGUUGCAGGUGUGCAGCUGGGAGCAGGUGAACCAGCUUGGCACCAAUCAGGAGCCAGGAGAGGGAGGGAAUCACCACGGCAACAACACAGGACACACAGAGAAAGAGAGAGGAAACAGUUGGUGACAUGAGCACGUUUCUCUGUCUCUUACCUGCAGCCUCUGUUUGAAGAGAGCACUGUGUCGGUGUGCUGCAGUGUCCUGUCUGAACCCCCCCCCCACAGCCUGCGCUCUACAGAAGGACGGUUUCUUGGAGGAUGGUGAAGAAAUGUGGUUAAGGACUGGGACUCAAUGACUCAAAUGACCACAUGUGAGUCCCGGGGAGUCCCAUCAACAUCACUGGGCUUUAACUGGGACGUUUUGGGACCGAUUGGUUGGAGUGCUGUGGCCGAAGUACGCGUGGCGGAACACUGGUUUCUGUGUGAAAGUGACUGAUGGAGCAUCAUGAAUUGGCCAGUAUUAAGCGAGAUUGACAGGGAAACAAGCUACAAUGUUUACAACUGUCACGACUUCCUUACCUCUGACAAACAGCCAGCUGGGUGAAGAGUCUCCAACCCCGCUGAUGUGACACUUGUAGAGGCCUUCAUCAGUCGUAU
Long non-coding RNA from Perca fluviatilis (European perch), 610 nucleotides. RefSeq lists it as uncharacterized. The record is from RefSeq and is a predicted model, not a curated record. Lineage: Eukaryota; Metazoa; Chordata; Actinopteri; Perciformes; Percidae. The transcript has 4 exons.